Molecule: transfer RNA, 67 nt
Filed under: Stenopsyche navasi
Lineage: Eukaryota; Metazoa; Arthropoda; Insecta; Trichoptera; Stenopsychidae
Description: tRNA-Phe
Source: RNAcentral
ACUUAAGUAACUUAUAACUAGAGUGUAAUAUUGAAGCUAUUAAAGAAAUAUUUUAUAUUCUUAAGUA